UGUGUUGUGCAGCUGCUAAGGGGGGAUGGAGGAGGAGUGGCACUGGCAAUUCAAGACUGCCUUUCCUACCCUUUUCAGUGCCUCUUUCAGUGAUAUCAAGUUAAAACCAGAUACUGCUUUCAUAGUACUCUUCUGACCAUGGUUUUCUGGAGUUUUUUCAUAUGGAGUUUGUAAGCUUCCUGACAUGUUAUUUUUGGUAGAUUUUGAUGGAUGUACAUUGAUGGAUAGCCACAUGGAUCCAGAAAAUAAAGACUUCUACUGUGCAUAUUGACUAAAGCAAAAGAUAUGCAAGGAAGCUCAGUCUCUCAGUUGAGUGGAUUCUGAAAUUUAUCCUGUUGUCUUCAGCUACUAAGGCUAAUUUGCAAAUCACACUGUGCACGGAAACAACCUGUUCAGUGGCUGCUGAUUAACUCCCAAAGAUUGAUGUACUGAAGAAGGAUGACCUCCCCUUGACACCAAUGCUACUAGUCAAUAGCAACCACUGUGACUCGGAACAAAUUCUCUGGGGGCAGGCAGUGAAGCUUCUUCUCUUGUUGACCUUACCAGACCACAAGGCUGAAAAUAUUCUGUGGCCUGAUGCCCUUAAAUUGAUCAUAUUAAUACAAUCAAGCAGAAAAGAAAUUAUUUUUCCCGCUCUCUGUCUAUACAUAUACUUACUACUAUAGUGUAGUAUAUAUAUAUAUAUACACACACUAUAUAUGUGUGUAUAUAUAUGCUAUAUAUGUGUGUGUGUAUAUAUAUAGCAGUACAUAUAGAUAUAAUUAGUAUAUAUAGAAGUAGUAAAUAUAUACAAAUAUA
RNAcentral lists this long non-coding RNA (798 nucleotides) under Pongo abelii (Sumatran orangutan). RNAcentral describes it as "lincRNA". Lineage: Eukaryota; Metazoa; Chordata; Mammalia; Primates; Hominidae. The record is from RNAcentral.